Molecule: ribosomal RNA, 254 nt
Filed under: uncultured bacterium
Lineage: Bacteria
Description: partial 16S ribosomal RNA
Rfam family: Bacterial small subunit ribosomal RNA
Source: RNAcentral
UACGGGGGGGGCAAGCGUUGUUCGGAAUUACUGGGCGUAAAGGGCUCGUAGGCGGCCAACUAAGUCCGACGUGAAAUCCCUCGGCUUAACCGGGGAACUGCGUCUGAUACUGGAUGGCUUGAAUCCGGGAGAGGGAUGCGGAAUUCCAGGUGUAGCGGUGAAAUGCGUAGAUAUCUGGAGGAACACCGGUGGCGAAGGCGACAUCCUGGACCGGUAUUGACGCUGAGUGAGCGAAAGCCAGGGGAGCAAACGGG